CAUCAGCAGCACCAUGCUCCAGUGCUCUGGGAGAGUUUAUAGUCCUGAGAGUUGAACACUGGAUGACUGACAGCUGUCCUUCAUGACAACAGAAGACACAGAAAUCCUCCUCAUCAAAAACAUGACUUUGAUCUCCGUCCUCAUCUGGACUCUCCUCUGCUGCUGCUUCACAGAGUCCAGAGGCCAGGUCACAGUGACUCAGUCUGGAGCAGUGAGCUCUGCUCUGGGACGCUCCGUCUCCAUCACAUGUAGGACCAGUCAGAAUGUCUAUACUUGGAGCAGCUACCAUGAAUUGGCCUGGUACCAACAGAGAGAUGGAGAAACUCCUAAACUGCUUAUCAAUAGGGCAACAUAUCGAGCAUCAGGGAUUCCAGGUCGUUUUACAGGCAGUGGAUCAAACUCUGACUUCACUCUGACCAUCAGUGGAGUCCAGACUGAAGAUGCAGCAGUUUACUACUGUCAGAGUGGUCAUAGCAUCAACAGUCAGGCUGUGUUCACACAGUGAAAAAGCGUCGUACAAAAACCUCCCUCAGUCAGACUGAACAGAAACUGAACUGACUGCUGCAGCUGGAAGCUACUGCCGAGACUGAUACACUUCACUGAGGACACACACACUCACACUCUCACACACACACACACACACACACGCACACACAUUUCAUGAUUUAGAUUUAAACAGAAUAUUAGCUCAAUGUAUGUGCAAAAUCAAUACAUAUACAGUACACAGAAACAAACAAUAGUAAAUAAUAAUUAUAAACAAAAAGUAAUACAUUUUCAAGUGUGGCACAAGAUUGCCACACCAUAUCUCUCUGUGCCUUAUUCCAUUUAGUGAAAAGAAUUUGAUGGGAUUUAUCAGGCAUUCAGGCUGUACUGACAGAGCAAUCAAAUGUAACAUGUAUGACACAAUCCCAUCAACUGUUCACAAAACUGUGGUGGGUAAUGCAUCACUGU
Molecule: non-coding RNA, 951 nt
Organism: Dicentrarchus labrax (European seabass)
Lineage: Eukaryota; Metazoa; Chordata; Actinopteri; Moronidae
Source: the annotation of a RefSeq genome assembly